RNAcentral lists this ribosomal RNA (653 nucleotides) under uncultured bacterium. RNAcentral's name for it is "bacterial SSU rRNA". It matches the Rfam family "Bacterial small subunit ribosomal RNA", at positions 104 to 751 of the family's 1533-position model. The record is from RNAcentral.
GGGUGAGUAACACGUAUGCAAUCCACCUGUAACAGGGGGAUAACCCGGAGAAAUCCGGACUAAUACCCCAUAAUAUGGGUUCUCCGCAUGGAGGGUCCAUUAAAGAGAGCAAUUUUGGUUACAGACGAGCAUGCGCUCCAUUAGCCAGUUGGCGGGGUAACGGCCCACCAAAGCGACGAUGGAUAGGGGUUCUGAGAGGAAGGUCCCCCACAUUGGAACUGAGACACGGUCCAAACUCCUACGGGAGGCAGCAGUGAGGAAUAUUGGUCAAUGGUCGGCAGACUGAACCAGCCAAGUCGCGUGAGGGAAGACGGCCCUACGGGUUGUAAACCUCUUUUGUCGGAGAGUAAAGUACGCUACGUGUAGCGUAUUGCAAGUAUCCGAAGAAAAAGCAUCGGCUAACUCCGUGCCAGCAGCCGCGGUAAUACGGAGGAUGCAAGCGUUAUCCGGAUUUAUUGGGUUUAAAGGGUGCGUAGGCGGCACGCCAAGUCAGCGGUGAAAUUUCCGGGCUCAACCCGGACUGUGCCGUUGAAACUGGCGAGCUAGAGUGCACAAGAGGCAGGCGGAAUGCGUGGUGUAGCGGUGAAAUGCAUAGAUAUCACGCAGAACCCCGAUUGCGAAGGCAGCCUGCUAGGGUGCGACAGACGCUGAGG